Long non-coding RNA from Mercenaria mercenaria, 934 nucleotides. RefSeq lists it as uncharacterized. The transcript is spliced from 5 exons. The record is from RefSeq and is a predicted model, not a curated record. Lineage: Eukaryota; Metazoa; Mollusca; Bivalvia; Venerida; Veneridae.
UCGAACCUCAGACCUUCGGCUUACCUUGCCAACGCAGUACCAAUUGAGCUACCGAGGCCACCCGAUACGAGAACCGCUACACAACUAAUAUGACUUGUCUGUAUUGAACAUAUGUUUACUGGAUAAUAAAGUCAAGGAAUUCUCUUGCCCUCCAAUAAAUUAACUGAACGCCGCCUAGCCUGCAUGAUAGUCAUCAGGUAACCCAAUGCCUAGUCGAGAGUCCUCUAGGGGUUUUGUAUCUGGCUUGAAAUCUUGAUUUGACAUAUUUGUGAUAUUACAUACGUCAUGCAAUGUAAGUUACAAAUGAAACAUUCUUAUCACACAAGCUUGGUAUCACAGUUUAUUAUGAUGUCUUUAAAACUAUUUAUGUUGCAGAAUGCCAGAAGAAAUUACAGACAACAAUACUGCUCAGUGCAGUAACCACUGAAAAAAAAAAACACUGCUCAAGGCAAACUUUUGGGACGGAGUGCUGCAUACAUGGGCUUAUGCACAAACUGAGAUUUUGCAAGUCAACUGUCAAAGUCAUAAAGAGAGAUAGUGGACAAUGUUGAACAGAGUUGAAGUCCUGGAAUCUCGGUCAACUGCAGAUAGCAGCAUGGCGUAAAGCAGACGUCUUGUUUCCCAGUCCAAUUUUAGGCAGGUAUUCUUGGUGGUAUGAAACUGCAGUCAACACAGGUUUUUAGAGGUCUGCAAGUACAGAGUUUUAAAUUGUGAAACAAAACCUCUAACCAGAUCACAGUGUGUGUGUGUUAUGCUGUGCUGAGAUAUUGCUGUGACAUAUGGUGGAUUAAGGUCCACAACCUGGUAUUAUAUGAGUUGACAACUGUACAAGACAUCCUAUUGAAGACAGUUCUGAGUGGGCAACAGCCCAAGACACCUUGUUAAUGCUGCUCUGUUAUCUACUGAGUUUCUACAUACAAGUCAAGUAAGUACU